Long non-coding RNA from Schistocerca americana (American grasshopper), 367 nucleotides. RefSeq lists it as uncharacterized. Lineage: Eukaryota; Metazoa; Arthropoda; Insecta; Orthoptera; Acrididae. The record is from RefSeq and is a predicted model, not a curated record. The transcript has 2 exons.
AAGAAGCAAACGCGUUUCUUACGCAGACCUGCACAGUGAGCGUCUUGUAGUUUCUUUGCUACGUAUUUCAGCCUCAGGUCACACAAAUGUUAUCGGAACCGGCUUUGACUUAUUACUAAGCCAUCAUUAGAUGAUGUUGUCACUUGUUACUGUACCACCUGGAGCUUGGUAGGAGCAAUUGUGACUAAGGGAGUACUAAAGCCAGUUCAGAGUGUACUCUGAGGAAAGGGUUGGCAAGUACACGAGAAGAAUAACAAAGUGUUUGCAAUUUAUAUACCCUGUGCAAUUAGUGUUUUAAUUCUGUAUUUUUAAUUUUGUAGAUAUAUUGACAGAAACACUGAAAACAAUGGAAUUAGUCACUAUUGUA